This 730-nucleotide long non-coding RNA is filed under the name Homo sapiens (human). Its description in RNAcentral is "non-protein coding lnc-C9-1:9". Lineage: Eukaryota; Metazoa; Chordata; Mammalia; Primates; Hominidae. The record is from RNAcentral.
UUCAGAAUGGGAGUGAGGCCCUAAUGAUUCUAGAUGACCAAACUAACAAACUGAAAUCGGGUGUUGACCAGAUGGAUUUGUUUGGGGACAUGUCUACACCUCCUGACCUAAAUAGUCCAACAGUAAGUGUUUGUUUUUAAAUUUGCAAUGUAAUAAAAUGACAUCUAUAACUCAAAUUGGCAAUAACCAGAAAUCUUAAGCAUCUCAUUGAAACUUGGAAGGUGACUGUUGAUUUUUGCAAAUGAAGUGUCAAUGGUUUUUAGAAUAAAUGUGAAUCUUAAGUCACCAUGGGAACCUAUCCACACUAAUUCAGUUAUAUUAAUAUUGCUUACAGAUUAAACCUGAACAAUAAGUCAGCAAUGUAGUCCUUCUUGGUAUCACUUAGGAUUAGAAGGAGGAGGUGAAUAAUAGUCCUUGAAUAAGCCUACUUGAAGAAAGUAUGACUGUUAGAUGGUUAAUCAUAAAGCCUCCUGGCCUCUUCAUUUCUUUUGCAUUCUGUCUGUUGCAAUUUAGCAGCAUAAAUUUGGUGUGAAGUAAGAUUUAAAACAAACAAGUGGCUCAGUUAUAUUCCACCAAAGCUUGUCCUUGUUAGAAAGCUGCCCAUUCUCAUAGGAUUUUAUACCAUAUCCAGUCUGCUCAAUAUUGAAUGAUCUGUAACAACCCUGUAAGAACAGAACAGUAUUUUCCUUUAUAAAUUAAAAAAAAAUGGUGGUUCAGGGAAAAAAAAGAA